This 71-nucleotide transfer RNA is filed under the name Bos taurus (domestic cattle). It matches the Rfam family "tRNA". Rfam says of the family: Transfer RNA (tRNA) molecules are approximately 80 nucleotides in length. Their secondary structure includes four short double-helical elements and three loops (D, anti-codon, and T loops). Lineage: Eukaryota; Metazoa; Chordata; Mammalia; Artiodactyla; Bovidae. The record is from Rfam by way of RNAcentral. RNAcentral also lists the same sequence under 1 other name.
CCCAGGCAGUGCUAGGGGUAAAGAACCUGCCUGCAAUGUAGGAGACCCAGGUUCAAUCCCUGGGUCUGGAA